RNAcentral lists this ribosomal RNA (56 nucleotides) under Leptoxyphium kurandae. Its description in RNAcentral is "partial 28S ribosomal RNA". Lineage: Eukaryota; Fungi; Ascomycota; Dothideomycetes; Capnodiales; Capnodiaceae. The record is from RNAcentral.
GUUGACCUCGGAUCAGGUGGGGAUACCCGCUGAACUUAAGCAUAUCAAUAAGCGGA